CCCAGCAUUCCAGCUGGAUCAUGUCCAUCCAUCCCUCCAUUUUGAGGCCUACAAGCAUGUCUAAAUUCAUAAAUCAGAAAGAGGCUCAAGAGGUUAAAGUGGCUGUGUCAGAGUGCCCAGUGCCAUUCAGGAUUUACCUAGAAAGCUGUGAGCCAUUAUGAAAUCCAAACUCACAAACAUGCUCCUGCUUGUGGGUGAGACAUAUGCCUAGCAGUGCUUUGCCUGGCUAAGGAAAAGAAAUGACCAGACUUUGUGUCAGCAGAAUAAGGCCCCUUGCAUGGAGUGGGAGUUGCUGGAGGAGCUGGGCCAUCAGACCACCUCAUACAUGGGAGAGACCAGCAGAAAGUGAGAAAA
Passer domesticus (house sparrow) is the source of this 354-nucleotide long non-coding RNA. RefSeq lists it as uncharacterized. Lineage: Eukaryota; Metazoa; Chordata; Aves; Passeriformes; Passeridae. The transcript has 3 exons. The record is from RefSeq and is a predicted model, not a curated record.